RNAcentral lists this long non-coding RNA (771 nucleotides) under Cyanistes caeruleus (blue tit). RNAcentral's name for it is "lncRNA (ENSCCEG00000013460.1)". Lineage: Eukaryota; Metazoa; Chordata; Aves; Passeriformes; Paridae. The record is from RNAcentral.
CCAAAAGCCCCGCUAAUGCGGAGGGGAAAGAGAGGCUGGAGAUGUUGCUGUCUCCGUGUGAAAGCCAAGCUCCGGGUGGCUGCUUUUGGUGGCAGAUCCGAUUUCAAAGGAUCUCAGGGUUACAAGUGUUUUUGAUACCAACCUCCGGCAUUUUAAGAUGUCCGCUUAGAACAACAGGAAGAUUUAAAUGGGUGUUUAAAAAAAUCAGCCUAAGCUGGAUCUCUCCCGCUGGAAAUGUGCUUUGCUGGAAGCCAAGGCAAAGUCCUGGAGCAGAGGAUGCUCUCAGGAAUAAGUGUGAUGCUUCCCUGCUCCUGAUAGUCUCUUGAACAGCUUCAGGUUUUGUGCCGUGGCUCUUCUAGAGGCUGAAUUAAUCCAGCCAACAUCGAAAAUGAGCAAAUAGUCUGUUACCAGGAUGGCUUGAAUUUGGUUCCCUAGGAAAUUAUACAGGAGACCUUUUUAAUCUUGGGCUGGUGUGUAACCACAUCACAACCCAGAAACUAGUGGGGGACAAACUGGAGAGCUGCGACUCCUCCCAGCAGCUCUGAGAGUAUGAAGGAGUCGUUUCGGCAAUGUGGAAUAAGAACUGUCGUUAGAUCUUGAUUAUGCUAAAGUGUCCAGGAGUGAAAUAUUUAAAAUACUGAUAUUUGCUUUCUCCUGAAUUUCAGCGCUAACAGCCCAUUCUGACAAGCAGGGCUACUUCAUGUGUCAAGGAUCCGGGAUGCUUCAGACACAGAAAGUCCCGAGAAUAUUCAUCUCUCUUAUUCUCGAGAC